CAGCCGCCGCGGUAAUACCGGCGGCCCGAGUGGCGGUCACUAUUAUUGGGCUUAAAACGUCCGUAGCCGGGUUGGGAAGUCUUCCGGGAAAUCUGGCCGCUUAACGGUCCGAAUGCCGGAGGAUACUCCCAGCCUAGGGAGCGGGAGAGGCCGAGGGUAUUCCCGGGGUGAGGGGGAAAUCCUAUAAUCCCGGGAGGACCACCUGUGGCGAAGGCGCUCGGCUGGAACGCGUCCGACGGUGAGGGACGAAGGCCAGGGGAGCAAACCGGAUUAGAUACCCGGGUAGUCCUGGCUGUAAACGAUGCGGACUUUGUGUCGGACAAGCUAUGAGCUUGUCCGGUGCCGGAGGGAAACCGUUAAGUCCGCCGCCUGGGGAGUACGGCCGCAAGGCUGAAACUUAAAGGAAUUGGCGGG
Molecule: ribosomal RNA, 414 nt
Filed under: uncultured microorganism
Description: bacterial SSU rRNA
Rfam family: Archaeal small subunit ribosomal RNA
Source: RNAcentral